RNAcentral lists this transfer RNA (84 nucleotides) under candidate division WWE3 bacterium RIFOXYC1_FULL_39_7. Its description in RNAcentral is "tRNA-Leu". It matches the Rfam family "tRNA". Rfam says of the family: Transfer RNA (tRNA) molecules are approximately 80 nucleotides in length. Lineage: Bacteria; candidate division WWE3. The record is from RNAcentral.
GCCGAGGUGGCGAAAUUGGUAGACGCGCAUGAUUUAGGAUCAUGUGGGCAUUAGCUCUUGGAGGUUCGAGUCCUCUCCUCGGCA